This 207-nucleotide long non-coding RNA is filed under the name Musa acuminata (dwarf banana). RNAcentral's name for it is "long non-coding RNA (MACU_LNC000564)". Lineage: Eukaryota; Viridiplantae; Streptophyta; Magnoliopsida; Zingiberales; Musaceae. The record is from RNAcentral.
UUCUUGGCAUCUCGCUGCCCUUCCACUGCCAUCCAUCAGCCCUCCACAACCACCCAAAGCAAUUCCCACAAUUGCUUAAAAGAUUGUCGCCGAAUUCCGCCAUCAUCUCCAUCACCGCGGAUCAUCUUUUGAUCUCCCCGUGAAUUGCAACAGGUUUUGGUUUCCUACCUUUCUGCUGCUGCAAUUUAGUUAUCCUUAUUCGAAAAU